This 710-nucleotide ribosomal RNA is filed under the name uncultured bacterium. RNAcentral describes it as "bacterial SSU rRNA". It matches the Rfam family "Bacterial small subunit ribosomal RNA", at positions 394 to 1120 of the family's 1533-position model. The record is from RNAcentral.
UAUACGCGUGGAGGAUAAGGCUUCGGGUUGUAAACUCCUUUUACAGUAAUUGAGAAGUUAUUGAGAAUAAGCACCUGCUAACUCUGUGCCAGCAGCCGCGGUAAUACAGAGGGUGCAAGCGUUAUCCGGAUUUAUUGGGCGUAAAGCGUUUCGUAGGUGACCAGGCAAGUUAUCUUUCAAAGACCACGGCUCAACCCGGGGAAGGGAGGUAAUACUACCUAGUUUGAUUUAUGGUGGGGCUUCUGGAACUGAUGGUGUAGUAGUGAAAUACGUUGAUAUCAUCAGGAACUCCAAGGGCGAAGGCAGGAAGCUAACCAUUUAAUGACACUGAGGAACGACAGCUAGGGGAGCGAAAGGGAUUAGAGACCCCUGUAGUCCUAGCCGUAAACUUUGCUUGCUAGGGGUUGGGUCGUAAGACUUGGCCCCGUAAGCUAACGCGUUAAGCAAGCCGCCUGGGGAGUACGGCCGCAAGGCUAAAACUCAAAGGAAUUGACGGGGACCCGCACAACCAGUGGAGCAUGUGGUUUAAUUCGAGACGAAACGAAGAACCUUUACCAGNCUUGACAUACUACCGUUUUAAGCAUCCAGAACUGGGAGCCUAUCUUUAGAAAAUAUCGAUGGUAGUACAGGUGUUGCGUGGGCGUCGGCAGGUCGUGCGGAAGGGUGUCCCUUCAGUGGGUAACGAGCGAACCUUGGCGAGUUGAUUUCCU